ACGCACGCUGGCGGCGUGCUUAACACCUGCAAGUCGAACGGAAAGGCCCUGCUUUUGUGGGGUGCUCGAGUGGCGAACGGGUGAGUAACACGUGAGUAACCUGCCCUUGACUUUGGGAUAACUUCAGGAAACUGGGGCUAAUACCGGAUAGGAGCUCCUGCUGCAUGGUGGGGGUUGGAAAGUUUCGGCGGUUGGGGAUGGACUCGCGGCUUAUCAGCUUGUUGGUGGGGUAGUGGCUUACCAAGGCUUUGACGGGUAGCCGGCCUGAGCGGGUGACCGGCCACAUUGGGACUGGGAUACGGCCCAGACUCCUACGGGAGGCAGCAGUGGGGAAUAUUGCACAAUGGGCGGAAGCCUGAUGCAGCAACGCCGCGUGCGGGAUGACGGCCUUCGGGUUGUAAACCGCUUUCGCCUGUGACGAAGCGUGAGUGACGGUAAUGGGUAAAGAAGCACCGGCUAACUACGUG
This 467-nucleotide ribosomal RNA is filed under the name uncultured bacterium. RNAcentral's name for it is "partial 16S ribosomal RNA". It matches the Rfam family "Bacterial small subunit ribosomal RNA", at positions 29 to 507 of the family's 1533-position model. The record is from RNAcentral.